UACCGGAUGCUUGUUUGAACCGCAUGGUUCAAAYAUAAAAGGUGGCUUCGGCUACCACUUACAGAUGGACCCGCGGCGCAUUAGCUAGUUGGUGAGGUAACGGCUCACCAAGGCAACGAUGCGUAGCCGACCUGMGAGGGUGAUCGGCCACACUGGGACUGAGACACGGCCCAGACUCCUACGGGAGGCAGCAGUAGGGAAUCUUCCGCAAUGGACGAAAGUCUGACGGAGCAACGCCGCGUGAGUGAUGAAGGUUUUCGGAUCGUAAAGCUCUGUUGUUAGGGAAGAACAAGUACCGUUCGAAUAGGGCGGUACCUUGACGGUACCUAACCAGAAAGCCACGGCUAACUACGUGCCAGCAGCCGCGGUAAUACGUAGGUGGCAAGCGUUGUCCGGAAUUAUUGGGCGUAAAGGGCUCGCA
This 421-nucleotide ribosomal RNA is filed under the name Bacillus sp. CEIZ-3. Its description in RNAcentral is "bacterial SSU rRNA". It matches the Rfam family "Bacterial small subunit ribosomal RNA", at positions 167 to 573 of the family's 1533-position model. Lineage: Bacteria; Bacillati; Bacillota; Bacilli; Caryophanales; Bacillaceae. The record is from RNAcentral.